This is a long non-coding RNA of Austrofundulus limnaeus, 679 nucleotides long. RefSeq lists it as uncharacterized. The transcript has 2 exons. Lineage: Eukaryota; Metazoa; Chordata; Actinopteri; Cyprinodontiformes; Rivulidae. The record is from RefSeq and is a predicted model, not a curated record.
UGUUAAGUAUAUAAUGUCAUGAAUCCAGUCUGCUUUCUGCUUAACCAUGUCAUAGUCAUGUCUCCCUGCUCAUUGCUUCUGCCCCUCCCGUCACAGAUCUCACAAUCAGCUCAUUCAACUCACCUGUGCUCCUCAGUACUUAAGCUCCUCUCUCCCACAGCAUCAGCGCCAGAUUAACAAACGGUUCUCCUAGUAGUUGUCCAGCAUUCAUGUCACGKCUUGCCUGCCUCGUAUUGACCCUGGUUCUGCUCUCUGGUUUCACGUCUCCUGCCUUGUCCCUUAAUGGUACCGUAUCGGAUUCUGAUCUCCUGGUUUUGACCUCCGCCUUCUCCUCUGGACUGCCGMCUUUCGUCUUCGCCCCUGCCGGAUUUGUUCAGCCAUCUGCCUUCUGGAUUCGGACCUCCGCCUGUGUACCCCGACAAAGAGUUAAGUCUGUUCCCAUAAACCUGGUUGCUGCCUCUGAUCUCAUGUGUAUGACCCAAAGCUGUUUCACGGAUUCCCCAAGUGUAAACAAAUUCGCCUCAAAGACCGGAAGUGACGUCACCGUACUUCGUCUAAGACUCUCAAAGUCUUUYAAGUUCACAUCCAAGUCUCCACGCCGAUUAAGAAGAGCUCCAGAUCCCGGUGACGUGUUCUACCAGUUCCAGCUGCUCUUACUAUAAUAAAACUCUUAAAACUA